GAUUAAGUUAUUAAGGGCGCACGGUGGAUGCCUUGGCACUAGAAGCCGAUGAAGGACGUUACUAACGACGAUAUGCUUUGGGGAGCUGUAAGUAAGCUUUGAUCCAGAGAUUUCCGAAUGGGGAAACCCAGCAUGAGUUAUGUCAUGUUAUCGAUAUGUGAAUACAUAGCAUAUCAGAAGGCACACCCGGAGAACUGAAACAUCUUAGUACCCGGAGGAAGAGAAAGAAAAUUCGAUUCCCUUAGUAGCGGCGAGCGAAACGGGAAGAGCCCAAACCAACAAGCUUGCUUGUUGGGGUUGUAGGACACUCUAUACGGAGUUACAAAGGACGACAUUAGACGAAUCAUCUGGAAAGAUGAAUCAAAGAAGGUAAUAAUCCUGUAGUCGAAAAUGUUGUCUCUCUUGAGUGGAUCCUGAGUACGACGGAGCACGUGAAAUUCCGUCGGAAUCUGGGAGGACCAUCUCCUAAGGCUAAAUACUCUCUAGUGACCGAUAGUGAACCAGUACCGUGAGGGAAAGGUGAAAAGCACCCCGGAAGGGGAGUGAAAUAGAACCUGAAACCGUGUGCUUACAAGUAGUCAGAGCCCGUUAAUGGGUGAUGGCGUGCCUUUUGUAGAAUGAACCGGCGAGUUACGAUUUGAUGCAAGGUUAAGCAGUAAAUGUGGAGCCGUAGCGAAAGCGAGUCUGAAUAGGGCGUUUAGUAUUUGGUCGUAGACCCGAAACCAGGUGAUCUACCCUUGGUCAGGUUGAAGUUCAGGUAACACUGAAUGGAGGACCGAACCGACUUACGUUGAAAAGUGAGCGGAUGAACUGAGGGUAGCGGAGAAAUUCCAAUCGAACCUGGAGAUAGCUGGUUCUCUCCGAAAUAGCUUUAGGGCUAGCCUCAAGUGAUGAUUAUUGGAGGUAGAGCACUGUUUGGACGAGGGGCCCCUCUCGGGUUACCGAAUUCAGACAAACUCCGAAUGCCAAUUAAUUUAACUUGGGAGUCAGAACAUGGGUGAUAAGGUCCGUGUUCGAAAGGGAAACAGCCCAGACCACCAGCUAAGGUCCCAAAAUAUAUGUUAAGUGGAAAAGGAUGUGGCGUUGCCCAGACAACUAGGAUGUUGGCUUAGAAGCAGCCAUCAUUUAAAGAGUGCGUAAUAGCUCACUAGUCGAGUGACACUGCGCCGAAAAUGUACCGGGGCUAAACAUAUUACCGAAGCUGUGGAUUGUCCUUUGGACAAUGGUAGGAGAGCGUUCUAAGGGCGUUGAAGCAUGAUCGUAAGGACAUGUGGAGCGCUUAGAAGUGAGAAUGCCGGUGUGAGUAGCGAAAGACGGGUGAGAAUCCCGUCCACCGAUUGACUAAGGUUUCCAGAGGAAGGCUCGUCCGCUCUGGGUUAGU
This 1381-nucleotide ribosomal RNA is filed under the name Staphylococcus aureus. RNAcentral describes it as "partial 23S ribosomal RNA". It matches the Rfam family "Bacterial large subunit ribosomal RNA", at positions 1 to 1384 of the family's 2925-position model. The record is from RNAcentral. Lineage: Bacteria; Bacillati; Bacillota; Bacilli; Caryophanales; Staphylococcaceae.